GAACGCUAGCUACAGGCUUAACNCAUGCAAGUCGAGGGGCAGCAUGAUUGAAGCUUGCUUCAAUUGAUGGCGACCGGCGCACGGGUGAGUAACACGUAUCCAACCUUCCGUACACUCAGGGAUAGCCUUUUCGAAAGAAAGAUUAAUACCUGAUGGUAUCUUAAGCACACAUGUAAUUAAGAUUAAAGAUUUAUCGGUGAUGGAUGGGGAUGCGUCUGAUUAGCUUGUUGGCGGGGUAACGGCCCACCAAGGCGACGAUCAGUAGGGGUUCUGAGAGGAAGGUCCCCCACAUUGGAACUGAGACACGGUCCAAACUCCUACGGGAGGCAGCAGUGAGGAAUAUUGGUCAAUGGACGAGAGUCUGAACCAGCCAAGUAGCGUGCAGGAUGACGGCCCUAUGGGUUGUAAACUGCUUUUAUAAGGGAAUAAAGUGGGAGUCGUGACUCUUUUUGCAUGUACCUUAUGAAUAAGGACCGGCUAAUUCCGUG
Molecule: ribosomal RNA, 488 nt
Filed under: uncultured bacterium
Lineage: Bacteria
Description: bacterial SSU rRNA
Rfam family: Bacterial small subunit ribosomal RNA
Source: RNAcentral